This 380-nucleotide unclassified non-coding RNA is filed under the name uncultured Pseudobdellovibrionaceae bacterium. RNAcentral describes it as "uncultured Bdellovibrionaceae bacterium contains 16S-23S intergenic spacer region". Lineage: Bacteria; Pseudomonadati; Bdellovibrionota; Bdellovibrionia; Bdellovibrionales; Pseudobdellovibrionaceae. The record is from RNAcentral.
UCCAGCUUAACGCUAGCAGUCCCUCCAGAGUGCCCAACUUAAUGAUGGCAACAGGAGGCGUGGGUUGCGCUCGUUACGGGACUUAACCCAACAUCUCACGACACGAGCUGACGACAGCCAUGCAGCACCUGUCUCUUUGCUAUCCGAAGAUAGAAGCCGACUUUCAUCGGUUGUCAAAGGAUGUCAAGACCAGGAUAAGGUUCUUCGCGUUGCGUCGAAUUAAACCACAUGCUCCACUGCUUGUGCGGGUCCCCGUCAAUUUCUUUGAGUUUUAAUCUUGCGACCGUACUCCCCAGGCGGGAUGCUUAACGCGUUAGCUUCGUUACUGAAAGGGUUAACUCUUCCAACAACAAGCAUCCAUCGUUUACGGCGUGGACUAC